Esox lucius (northern pike) is the source of this 1760-nucleotide long non-coding RNA. Lineage: Eukaryota; Metazoa; Chordata; Actinopteri; Esociformes; Esocidae. The record is from Ensembl.
GUCGUUUUUCCUCCUCUCUCUCACUUUCUUCAUUCAUCACAGCACUGGAAGGUAACUGGUCAUUUCUGAAGGAUGUCUUCAACAACAAAUGGACUUGGCUUGUUCUUUAUCUUGUUUCUAUGUCCUGUAACGUGUGUUGAGUUCCAUCAGUCUCCUUCCCUGAUAGUUAAAGAUGGGGGAGACGUGGAGAUUCACUGUAGCCAUAAUGACAAUAACCUGCCUGUGAUGUUGUGGUACCAACAGAAACAGGCCAGUUCUGCUCUGUCUCUGAUAGGGAACAAAUACAGAACCGGUGAACCUACUAACGAGCCUCAGUUCAAGGAGAGAUUCAAGCUGAACACAACAAAUGUUCUGAAUGGAUCUUUAGUUAUCUCCAGUCUGAUGGCAACAGACUCGGCUGUGUAUUUCUGUGCUGCCAGUUACACAGUGAUGUGGGUUCAUAUCAAUACCUGACGUAAAUCCUGAUGGGAGGAACACUUCUGUACACAACACGCACACAGGAAAUCCAGUCAGAUAUAAAAUACUGUGGUUAAUCCACCACAUGUCAAGUGUAGAAACUGCUUGAUUGGUGCUGUGGGAGGGGCAAGAGUCAGAACUGUUGUGUGAAGAUCACAAUUAACAGAAACACAAAUCCAGAAUGCAAGCCCGCCUGCUCAGUUGGCUUGGUUGGCUCACAACAACAUGCUUUCUGUUCAUAAGUCAGUGUGGAGCAGGAGGCCCCGUCGUGCUCCAGCCCAGAGACCUCUUCUCCUUUCCUGGUAACACCAGUACCUCCGGUCCGGUCAUCCUGACGUGCUCCAUGGGCCCUGGCAUCAGCAUGUCCAGCUACACCAUGUACUGGUACCGACAGGUCCGCUACGGUGGCCCGGUAGAGUUCCUCAUAAAGGAAUACGAUGCCCCUACGGGCCAGUACCAGGUGACCUUGGACCCGACAGGGAACAGCUUCGUCCUGCAGGUCUCAGACCUGGUUGUGGAGGACACUGCUGUUUACUACUGCGCAGCCAGUCACAGUAAAGCAACAGGCUGGGGGGCCAUACAAAUAUUUAAAUGUUUAUGUCUCUGUACUAUACUUGCCUGCCCGCCUGUCUACCUGUUUGCCUGCAUUUCUGUCUGCCAGUCUAUCUGUCUAACAGAUGGUGUAUCUGGCAGGAAGACGUUGUUAAAUGUGGUUCUUCUGGUUUGAGGAUAGACUGUCUCUAUAUUACAGUACAACAGACAGUAAAAGUAAAUAAUGUGCAACAUCCAUUCAUUAUACUCUUUCAAGAUCGACACAUGAAGCCAUGUAACCAUUAUUGUUUCAAGAUACCCCCAUGAAGCCGAAUAGUCCUUUACACUUACACUGUUUCAAGAUACCCCCAUGAAGCCGAAUAGUCCUUUACACUUACACUGUUUCAAGAUACCCCCAUGAAGCCGAAUAGUCCUUUACACUUACACUGUUUCAAGAUACCCCCAUGAAGCCGAAUAGUCGUUUACUGUUUCAAGACACCCACAUAGUCCUUCUCUGUUUCAAAACACCCCCAUGAAGCCAUAAGGACCUUUGCUGUUUCAAGAUCCCCAAUGAACGAAUUAAGCCAAAUCUAAUUAGUAAUCUGGCUUACCAAAGAGGUGUUUCAGACAGUAAGGAUAAACUUCAAACUAUAGAGCAAAAAAAACUCAUACGUAAGCCAAUGUUACAAUAUGAGAGAAAGAGGUGGAUGAAAAGAGAGAAAGGGGGAGGGAGAUGGAGAGGGAGAGAGAAAUGGAAAUAAGAGAGAUUGGGU